GACGAACGCUGGCGGCGUGCUUAACACAUGCAAGUCGAACGGAAAGGCCCUGCUUGCAGGGUACUCGAGUGGCGAACGGGUGAGUAACACGUGGGUGAUCUGCCCUGCACUUCGGGAUAAGCCUGGGAAACUGGGUCUAAUACCGGAUAGGAGCCAUUUUUAGUGUGAUGGUUGGAAAGUUUUUUCGGUGUAGGAUGAGCUCGCGGCCUAUCAGCUUGUUGGUGGGGUAAUGGCCUACCAAGGCGGCGACGGGUAGCCGGCCCGAGAGGGUGGACGGGCACAGUGGGACUGGGAUACGGCCCAGACUCCGACGGGAAGCAGCAGUGGGGAAGAUGGCACAAGGGGCGCAAGCCUGAGGCAGCGACGCCGCGGGGGGGAUGACGGCCUUCGGGUUGUAAACGCCUUUCGCUAGGGACGAAGCUGUUUGUGACGGUACCUAGAGAAGAAGCACCGGCUAACUACGUG
This 465-nucleotide ribosomal RNA is filed under the name uncultured bacterium. RNAcentral's name for it is "partial 16S ribosomal RNA". It matches the Rfam family "Bacterial small subunit ribosomal RNA", at positions 28 to 507 of the family's 1533-position model. The record is from RNAcentral.